This 766-nucleotide long non-coding RNA is filed under the name Callithrix jacchus (white-tufted-ear marmoset). Its description in RNAcentral is "lncRNA (ENSCJAG00000074663.1)". Lineage: Eukaryota; Metazoa; Chordata; Mammalia; Primates; Cebidae. The record is from RNAcentral.
AACUGAGAACUGAAUAUUUUCAAUGCAUGUUUGAGCCUCAUUUCCAUUUAAGGCUCCUCAUUAGGCCACAGAUGCACCACGGACCUGUUCUUCCUUUUGAGCUGGCACAGCCCAAAGCCCCAUUAGCGGUAAUGUGCACCAGUGGGACUCCAGGGAGAGGAAGAGGGCUGAAAGGGCUGGAGUUCCUGCUCCAAUUUUUAAAGAAAAGAAGAGAAUAAAAGGCCCAUAAAACUCAGAAACACUUCUUCCCUUGGCUCAUUCACAUGGAAAUGCAAGGCUGAUGAUUAUGGACAAGGAGGUGAUGGCCCCAGGAGCAGGGGUCAGGGUGACCUCCAGCUCCUCGACUCCAGCCUUGUGUGCACCAUCAGGGUUCACCCCCAAGCCACCAGUGCCAAGUGGAAAAACUUUAUUGUCGUGUCUUUGGACGCUUGGCAGGAAGUAGCAUGGGUGUUUCAAUUAUUAAACUAAUAAGCACUCGACCUUGGCCAGCCCUUUCUGGUGCACGUACUCCUAAGAGUUGGGUGCUGGGAAGAUUCCUCAUCAUGCAUGAGGUGCCCCUUUGAUUGCUAGACUCAUGAUACGGGGCAGAACGAGGAUAGCUGUGAUGACUUUGGCAGUGGCUCUCCAAGAUUCUUCCAAAGGGGGAACCAACCUCCAAGUCCAGCCCUCUUCUUCAGGGAAACUUCGCUCCUCACUGUGCUUCAAGAUGACCUUUGGCUUCAAACAAAAAUGUGGCGAGCUGGCUCAGAGGUCAACUAUGAGCUGA